GUUGGGGGCGGCUGGGCCUGGCGGCGCCUAGCUCCGUGCCCGAGCCCCCCGCGCGCUGCGUCCAGCGCGCGCCCUCCAGCCGAGACUCCGCGUCCCGCGGCACUGGCUGGCCUGGCGCGAGCCCCAGUGCGGCUCCUUCUUCCUCAUGGGCCGACCCUGCCGGGCUCGCGCCUCUCGCAGCCCUGCCGCGCUGUGAGCGCUCGGCCCGUCAGGCGGCCCCUUCCCCCCCCGCAGACCCCCGCGUGUCGGGGCCGAACCCCCCGGUUGUCUCCUGCAGGAGCCCGGUUGGGUCGCAGCGGCGUGACUGGGGGGCGGGGGGAGCCGCUGCUGUUCCUGUGACUCGGUCGCGGGUCCGCGUGGAGUUGCCACGAGCGAGUGAGGAUUUUGAUGUAGGCAGACAAUGCCCAUUGAUGUGCUUUGCCUAGUUGACAAAUACCACUUUACAAGAAGUUGAUAUGACAGUUCUUGAAUGUGGAGAAAAUUAGUCUGAAUGAAUAGAAGACUACAGUUUCUGUACAUAUGGCCUGUAUACUAUGUAAAGAUUUGUACAGAAUUUCUACAGCUCAAGUUUGGCAGCUUUUCUUCCACCAGAAGAAUGUUCUGGAAGAAAUAUACAGGUAGAUGAGUUUUUAAAAGAUGGAAUUUGGAAAUCUGUAAAUCAUGGUAACAUAUUACUGGUAUGUUCACAAGAAGAUUCAAAUAGCUUUUAACUAUAUGUGGCAGUGGUGGGGGAAUGGUCUUGGGUACUAAAAAAUAAAGACUAUAUAUUUAUUUUUAA
This is a long non-coding RNA of Mauremys mutica (yellowpond turtle), 778 nucleotides long. RefSeq lists it as uncharacterized. NCBI's taxonomy places the organism in Eukaryota, Metazoa, Chordata, Testudines, Geoemydidae. The transcript is spliced from 4 exons. The record is from RefSeq and is a predicted model, not a curated record.